RNAcentral lists this transfer RNA (73 nucleotides) under Motilibacter rhizosphaerae. RNAcentral's name for it is "Actinomycetales bacterium RS-16 tRNA". It matches the Rfam family "tRNA". Rfam says of the family: Transfer RNA (tRNA) molecules are approximately 80 nucleotides in length. Their secondary structure includes four short double-helical elements and three loops (D, anti-codon, and T loops). Lineage: Bacteria; Bacillati; Actinomycetota; Actinomycetes; Motilibacterales; Motilibacteraceae. The record is from Rfam by way of RNAcentral.
UCCGCCGUGGUGUAAUCGGCAGCACCCAGGCCUUUGGAGCCUCGGAGUCUUGGUUCGAGUCCAAGCGGCGGAG